RNAcentral lists this ribosomal RNA (426 nucleotides) under Eupasiphae serrata. RNAcentral's name for it is "partial 16S ribosomal RNA". Lineage: Eukaryota; Metazoa; Arthropoda; Malacostraca; Decapoda; Pasiphaeidae. The record is from RNAcentral.
AAUAGUUUUUUAAUUGAAAACUGGAAUGAAUGAUUGGACAAAAAAUAAUCUGUCUUUUUUAUAAAAAUUGAAUUUUACUUUUAAGUGAAAAGGCUUAAAUGAUUUAAAGGGACGAUAAGACCCUUUAAAACUUAACAAAAUAAAUAAAUUGUUAAAUUUUAAGGUUGAAUUCAUUUUUUUUAUUUUGUUUCAUUGGGGUGAUGAAGAUAAAUAAAAUAACUGUCUUAUAAUUUAAUAUAAUUAUAAUUAGAUACUAUAUGAUCCUUUAUUUUUAAGAUUAAAAGAGAAAGUUACUUUAGGGAUAACAGCGUAAUUUUUUCUGAGAGUUCUUAUUAAUGAAAAUAGUUGCGACCUCGAUGUUGAAUUAAGAUUUUCUAUUAAAAUGCAGUAAUUUUAAUUAUAAGUCUGUUCGACUUUUAAAAUCUU